UUCCUACGGGAGGCAGCAGUAGGGAAUCUUCCGCAAUGGACGAAAGUCUGACGGAGCAACGCCGCGUGAGUGAUGAAGGCUUUCGGGUCGUAAAACUCUGUUGUUAGGGAAGAACAAGUGCUAGUUGAAUAAG
This 133-nucleotide ribosomal RNA is filed under the name uncultured soil bacterium. RNAcentral's name for it is "partial 16S ribosomal RNA". It matches the Rfam family "Bacterial small subunit ribosomal RNA", at positions 336 to 468 of the family's 1533-position model. The record is from RNAcentral.